Molecule: ribosomal RNA, 304 nt
Filed under: uncultured bacterium
Lineage: Bacteria
Description: partial 16S ribosomal RNA
Rfam family: Bacterial small subunit ribosomal RNA
Source: RNAcentral
CAGCAGUAGCCGCGGGAAUACGGAGGGUGCAAGCGUUAAUCGGAAUUACUGGGCGUAAAGCGCACGCAGGCGGUCUGUUAAGUCAGAUGUGAAAUCCCCGGGCUCAACCCGGGAACUGCAUUUGAAACUGGCAGGCUUGAGUCUUGUAGAGGGGGGUAGAAUUCCAGGUGUAGCGGUGAAAUGCGUAGAGAUCUGGAGGAAUACCGGUGGCGAAGGCGGCCCCCUGGACAAAGACUGACGCUCAGGUGCGAAAGCGUGGGGAGCAAACAGGAUUAGAUACCCCGGUAGUCCCUGUCUCUUAUAC